AGCGAACGCUGGCGGUAGGCCUAACACAUGCAAGUCGAACGGCAGCACCGUGAGUGGUUGCUGUUGCGUGAGUAGCGUGUGGGAAGGUGCCGGUAGACAUGGGAUUCUACUGUUUCGUGUGUGCUAACGUAGGGAAACUUACGCUAAUACCGCAUACGUCGUACGUGGGAAAGCAGGGGAUCUUCUGACCUGUCGCGAGUGGAUAUGCCGGUGUCGGAUGAGCUAGUUGGCGGGGUAAAGGCCUACCAAGGCGACGAUCGGGAUCGGGCCUGAGAGGAACAUCAGCCAGACUGGCAGUGAGACAGGGCCGAGACUUCUGCGGGAGGACGCAGUGCGGAAUAUUGCGGAAUGGGGGCAAGCCUGAUCCAGCGAUAUCGGCUGGGUCAAGACGCCGUUAGGGUUGGAAAGUCCUUUUGUUGGGAAAGAAAAGCAGCAGUUUAAUCCCCCGCUGUUAUGACGGUACCCAAAGAAUAAGCCCCGGCUAACUUCGUG
This 492-nucleotide ribosomal RNA is filed under the name uncultured bacterium. Its description in RNAcentral is "partial 16S ribosomal RNA". It matches the Rfam family "Bacterial small subunit ribosomal RNA", at positions 29 to 507 of the family's 1533-position model. The record is from RNAcentral.